AUUGAACGCUGGCGGCAUGCUUUACACAUGCAAGUCGAACGGCAGCGCGGGCUUCGGCCUGGCGGCGAGUGGCGAACGGGUGGGUAAUGCAUCGGAACGUGCCCAGUAGUGGGGGAUAGCCCGGCGAAAGCCGGAUUAAUACCGCAUACGACCUGAGGGUGAAAGCGGGGGACCGAAAGGCCUCGCGCUAUUGGAGCGGCCGAUGUCGGAUUAGCUAGUUGGUGGGGUAAAGGCUUACCAAGGCGACGAUCCGUAGCUGGUCUGAGAGGACGACCAGCCACACUGGGACUGAGACACGGCCCAGACUCCUACGGGAGGCAGCAGUGGGGAAUUUUGGACAAUGGGGGCAACCCUGAUCCAGCCAUGCCGCGUGCGGGAAGAAGGCCUUCGGGUUGUAAAACGCUUUUGUUCGGGAAGAAAUCCUCUGGGCUAAUACCCCGGGGGGAUGACGGUACCGGAAGAAUAAGCACCGGCUAACUACGUG
Molecule: ribosomal RNA, 484 nt
Filed under: uncultured bacterium
Lineage: Bacteria
Description: partial 16S ribosomal RNA
Rfam family: Bacterial small subunit ribosomal RNA
Source: RNAcentral